CCUACGGGGGGCUGCAGUAAGGAAUAUUGGUCAAUGGAGGAAACUCUGAACCAGCCAUCCCGCGUGAAGGAUGAAGGGGCUCUGCCUUGUAAACUUCUUUUGUCUGGGGCGAAAAAGCUCGAUUUAUCGAGAACUGACGGUACCAGAAGAAUAAGCACCGGCUAACUCCGUGCCAGCAGCCGCGGUAAUACGGAGGGUGCCAGCGUUAUCCGGAUUCAAGGGGGCGUAGGGGGCCUAAGAAGGCAGAGGUGAAAUGCUGUGGCUUAACCAUGGAAGUGACAUUGAUACUGCAGAGCUUGAAUGAGGUUGAGGUUGGCGGAAUGUGACAUGUAGCGGUGAAAUGCUUAGAUAUGUCAUGGAACACCGAUUGCGAAGGCAGCUGACUGGACCUAUAUUGACGCUGAGGCACGAAAGCGUGGGGAGCGAACAGGAUUAGAUACCCCAGUAGUC
This 450-nucleotide ribosomal RNA is filed under the name uncultured bacterium. RNAcentral describes it as "partial 16S ribosomal RNA". It matches the Rfam family "Bacterial small subunit ribosomal RNA", at positions 338 to 795 of the family's 1533-position model. The record is from RNAcentral.